UGCAGUGUAGUUCAGUGGUAAAACAUUCACCUUGAAUGUGAAAAACUCUGGGGUUCAUCCAGCAUGGCAA
RNAcentral lists this transfer RNA (70 nucleotides) under Rattus norvegicus (Norway rat). It matches the Rfam family "tRNA". From Rfam's summary of the family: Transfer RNA (tRNA) molecules are approximately 80 nucleotides in length. Their secondary structure includes four short double-helical elements and three loops (D, anti-codon, and T loops). Further hydrogen bonds mediate the characteristic L-shaped molecular structure. tRNAs have two regions of fundamental functional importance: the anti-codon, which is responsible for specific mRNA codon recognition, and the 3' end, to which the tRNAs corresponding amino acid is attached (by aminoacyl-tRNA synthetases). tRNAs cope with the degeneracy of the genetic code in two manners: having more than one tRNA (with a specific anti-codon) for a particular amino acid; and 'wobble' base-pairing, i.e. permitting non-standard base-pairing at the 3rd anti-codon position. The record is from Rfam by way of RNAcentral. Lineage: Eukaryota; Metazoa; Chordata; Mammalia; Rodentia; Muridae.